RNAcentral lists this ribosomal RNA (433 nucleotides) under uncultured bacterium. RNAcentral's name for it is "partial 16S ribosomal RNA". It matches the Rfam family "Bacterial small subunit ribosomal RNA", at positions 29 to 507 of the family's 1533-position model. The record is from RNAcentral.
AACGAACGCUGGCGGCAUGCCUAACACAUGCAAGUCGAACGAAGGCUUCGGCCUUAGUGGCGCACGGGUGCGUAACGCGUGGGAAUCUGCCCUUAGGUUCGGAAUAACAGUUAGAAAUGACUGCUAAUACCGGAUGAUGACGUAAGUCCAAAGAUUUAUCGCCUGAGGAUGAGCCCGCGUAGGAUUAGCUAGUUGGUGUGGUAAAGGCGCACCAAGGCGACGAUCCUUAGCUGGUCUGAGAGGAUGAUCAGCCACACUGGGACUGAGACACGGCCCAGACUCCUACGGGAGGCAGCAGUAGGGAAUAUUGGACAAUGGGCGCAAGCCUGAUCCAGCAAUGCCGCGUGAGUGAUGAAGGCCUUAGGGUUGUAAAGCUCUUUUACCCGUGAUGAUAAUGACAGUAGCGGGAGAAUAAGCCCCGGCUAACUCCGUG